This 496-nucleotide ribosomal RNA is filed under the name uncultured bacterium. RNAcentral's name for it is "partial 16S ribosomal RNA". It matches the Rfam family "Bacterial small subunit ribosomal RNA", at positions 28 to 506 of the family's 1533-position model. The record is from RNAcentral.
GAUGAACGCUGGCGGCGUGCCUAAUACAUGCAAGUCGAGCGAACGGACGAGAAGCUUGCUUCUCUGAUGUUAGCGGCGGACGGGUGAGUAACACGUGGAUAACCUACCUAUAAGACUGGGAUAACUUCGGGAAACCGUAGCUAAUACCGGAUAAUAUUUUGAACCGCAUGGUUCAAAAGUGAAAGACGGUCUUGCUGUCACUUAUAGAUGGAUCCGCGCUGCAUUAGCUAGUUGGUAAGGUAACGGCUUACCAAGGCAACGAUGCAUAGCCGACCUGAGAGGGUGAUCGGCCACACUGGAACUGAGACACGGUCCAGACUCCGACGGGAGGCAGCAGUAGGGAAUCUUCCGCAAUGGGCGAAAGCCUGACGGAGCAACGCCGCGUGAGUGAUGAAGGUCUGCGGAUCGUAAAACUCUGUUAUUAGGGAAGAACAUAUGUGUAAGUAACGGUGCACAUCUGGACGGUACCUAAGCAGAAAGCCACGGCUAACUACGG